Molecule: transfer RNA, 72 nt
Filed under: Capra hircus (goat)
Lineage: Eukaryota; Metazoa; Chordata; Mammalia; Artiodactyla; Bovidae
Also listed under: 1 other name
Rfam family: tRNA
About the family: Transfer RNA (tRNA) molecules are approximately 80 nucleotides in length. Their secondary structure includes four short double-helical elements and three loops (D, anti-codon, and T loops).
Source: Rfam by way of RNAcentral
UCCAGGGUAGUUUAGCUGGUAAAGAAUCUGCCUGCAAUGCAGGAGACCCUGGUUUGAUUCCUGGGUCAGGAA